GACCUUCUUCACGUUUCUGAAACGGAGUGCGUUAUUGUUUGAGAGGGAGAAGGAGAGGAGAUUAGCUUCUCAUAGAAGUGCUCUGGUGAGGAAGGAGAGUGAGAUUUCAGAAUAGGACAGGAGGAUUCGUUAAUUGGAGACUUGAUUAUCAGAAGAGGCAGAGAGAUUGCAGGCAGCUUCUGUGGAGUUUUCAAAUUUGCAGAGAGUCAGAGGGAGGUGAAACAACGAUUUGACAUGGCUAGGAAAGAGCUAGAAUCCAUGAAGUAUCCUCCUGCUGCUAUAAAUAGCCUGAAGCUGUAGUACCACAAUCGAAGUUCAUCUACUCAGUUUCUAGGAGGCAGAGCCGCUUACGCAAGCGCCAGCACCGGCUGAGGAAUGUAAAGAGAGGCGGUGAGCUGACAUGCUCCUCCACUAAGCGCCUCUUAUGCAUGCCACCGUCGACGUCCACCGUUUGAAUACCUUCGAACACCUUUUCAAGACUGGUUCGAUGUACGCGGUGAAUGGUUGACGCGGAGAAACCUUAACUUCAAAUUGUCCAACUCUCCUUUGUCAAUAUGUUUCAGUGACUUAACCGCCUUCGCCAAAAUAACAGAACCGGUGAACCUGAUACCUCAAGUCAAGAGCUGUUCCAGUUCCGCAAUUCCGAACAGCUGCUAGGCUUGGCAAACACCAACACAUCUUCCAGGUCACUCUCUCAAACUCUGCUACUCUCACUUGCAAUCUAACCCUAUUUAGUAUUUCAAAUGUUCAUCUUCUUUCCGCAUACACUAUAGGUGAAUUAACCGCUAUUAGGGAUACUGUUGAUGAAUCCUUACAAGGCAAAGAAUCAGUACGUUUUUCUUAACUUUGCUUAUAAAGAACUCUACGGUAUCAUAAAUCAAGUAUAACUACCAAAAUAUGUUAACAUCACGUAGUUUGUCUGAAAUUCGCAAUGAUGUAUCUAUUUCCUUGAGCUGCUGCCUUUCAUAAACAAUCGUCAGACUUACAUGUUGACCUUAAAGUUAUUGUUGUAACGAGAAAAAAAAAACAAAGAUUGUAGGAGUUGCUUCCUCUUUUACAAUUUCACACAAUUGACUUUCUCUUUUGUAAUUCUUUUGCCGUGCAUUAAAAUGAAAAUAUUUUUUCAUGUGAUCACAAUACGUAAAUGGCGGCCCUGGAGAUGAUGUGCCCCGAGUUAGCACCUUCCAGCCAUGAUCAAUGUCAUGGUGAUGACAAUGAAAAAGAUCCAGCUAUUGAAACAAUCUAAGGUGGUCUGUCAGCCACUAACUCUCUGUUCUCUACGUCUUCCAAGGCAAAUAAGAAGGCACACAUUGCAUAGUUGGAGAAGGAUGCAGUUUCUUAGUCAUAGACUCACAGAAGCAGCUACUAAAAUAUUGCUUAAGCAUAGUUUUUUUGUUUUUAGUAAAACUUCAUCUGCUGUUGACAGUUAUCCUUAAACUAUAAAGACUAUUGUAUUUGGAUUUCCUCAUAUUUACCCAUAUAUCAAUGAGGAAAUAACGGUGCUACAAGCAAAUCUCAUUGACGAAUAUUACAACUUA
This is a long non-coding RNA of Brassica oleracea var. oleracea, 1538 nucleotides long. RefSeq lists it as uncharacterized. The record is from RefSeq and is a predicted model, not a curated record. The transcript has 4 exons. NCBI's taxonomy places the organism in Eukaryota, Viridiplantae, Streptophyta, Magnoliopsida, Brassicales, Brassicaceae.